ACAGCUUUACGGCUUGCUACUAUUUUAUUUCCCUCAGGUAAUCAAAAAAAUUAAACUUAUUGUGGUUAUUUAAUAGACUCUGAUGGAUCUGGUAACAAACCAUCUACUAUAUGUUAGGAUGAACAACAGUUAGUAGGACCAUAAAUAAUUUGAAUGUAUACUAAUGCUUGUUAACCCAGAUCUUUAAUAUAUUAGAUUACUUUCUUAAAUUCUAAGGAUGUCAAGUGUAAUAAGAAUAGA
RNAcentral lists this long non-coding RNA (240 nucleotides) under Bos taurus (domestic cattle). RNAcentral describes it as "long non-coding RNA NONBTAT025687". Lineage: Eukaryota; Metazoa; Chordata; Mammalia; Artiodactyla; Bovidae. The record is from RNAcentral.